Molecule: ribosomal RNA, 255 nt
Filed under: uncultured bacterium
Lineage: Bacteria
Description: partial 16S ribosomal RNA
Rfam family: Bacterial small subunit ribosomal RNA
Source: RNAcentral
CGUAGGUGCGAGCGUUGUCCGGAAUUAUUGGGCGUAAAGAGCUUGUAGGCGGUUUGUCGCGUCUGCCGUGAAAUCCGGGGCUCAACUCCGGACUUGCGGUGGGUACGGGCAGACUAGAGUGUGGUAGGGGAGACUGGAAUUCCUGGUGUAGCGGUGAAAUAGCGCAGAUAUCAGGAGGAACACCGAUGGCGAAGGCAGGUCUCUGGGCCACUACUGACGCUGAGAAGCGAAAGCGUGGGGGAGGCGAACAGGAUU